Long non-coding RNA from Amaranthus tricolor (Joseph's coat), 671 nucleotides. RefSeq lists it as uncharacterized. The record is from RefSeq and is a predicted model, not a curated record. The transcript has 3 exons. Lineage: Eukaryota; Viridiplantae; Streptophyta; Magnoliopsida; Caryophyllales; Amaranthaceae.
AUUACCCUUGAUAGCAAAUUGAUAUAUUUGUCCCUAAUUGUUAAUUCAAACGUCAACCAGCAAGUUUUCUCCGGUGAUAGCAAAUUAAUCAAACAUUCAUAAUAAAAGUCAUCAUCGAUUUCUUCAGUGAUAGCAAAUCGAUCAAAUCGAUCUUCGAUCUUCUCUAGUGAUAUAUUGGCACAAUUACUCUUCGAUCUUAAUUUCUUCUCAGUCAAGUGCCAUCAACACCGAUCAUCACAUUAUUAUCAGCGAUUACUUCACGUAAUUGUAGAGAAAAAUUCAAAAAUACCAGCGAUUACUUCCUUAUCUUCUCCAUAACUUUUUUCGGCAAUUGGUUCAAAUUUAGGUAAGCGUGAGUUCGAAUCACCUGAUCAUCUCUACAAUUUCUUCAAUUUCUUGAAUUUUAGGUACUACAAAAUCAUAGAAGGAUAUCAUAUUCUUUUCAUUGUGCAUCGAGAAAGAGAUGGAGUUCGAUUUGAGUUGACAUACGACAACAUCUUUGAACGUUUGUAGGAAGCUUGUGUAAUAGCUAUAGAAGCUACAUUUGAGAAGAUUCAAGCCUUUAUAGUUUUGUUAUUUUGUAAAAUGAAUAUAUGGAUAUCAUUUGAUAAUGUAAUAAACUCCUUAAUUUUGGUCAAGACAAUGAGAAAAUUAAGACAUUUUCAUCUGUU